UUUCAGUUCCCUUCCCACAGACCAAAAGUCUUCAUUACCAUUUUUUUCCCCAAGGGUUGGGAAAAUAUACAAGUCUUGUCUUUCUCAUUUGACAGGCUUUCCAGUGAAGAUCUGUUGCCAAACGUUACAGAAUGUCAAUGCUCUUCUCUGCAUCUUCUCCCCCGGUCCCCCUGUGGCGCCGCUGCACCUUCCGUCUCUUUUCCCUCACCUUCUCCCCCCCAGUCCCACCCCACCUUGUCUUUUGUUCUAUUUUUACAGGUCAUUUAUCUCCAGGCUUUGAGAUCUGCGUGGGGGAGCUGUUGCAGCAGCCCUAGCCGGGUGAGCUGUGCUGCCUGGGGGAGGUUGCUGAAGGGAUCUCAAGCCCACUGCUUUGCCCCAGAGGAGCUAGAGGUGUGAUGGGUGGCAGGUGAAUCCCAUGUUUCCACUACAGCUGGAAGGGGAUACCACAGAGACUUCUUAGCAGAAUCUAGCACGUUUUUCAGUAGAGCGGGCAAAGGGACCAGCUCUGAGGUUUGUCCCUGUAAGCAUAUGGAGAGGAAUUAGGGUCUUGAGGAGCCAGGAAUUUUUCAUUUGACAUCUAAAUGAGCAUCUCACAACAGCCGAGACAGUGUUGGGUUCAAGUCCCAGAUCCACCACUCGUGACUGGGCACAGUAGCGCUCCCUACUGAGCAACUGUCCCUCUGGGCAAUGUGGAUAGUAAUUUUACCUCCUGAGGCCAUUGUGAGCUUCUCAUGGGACAGAGACAGUAAGAUGCCUGGCAUUUAGUAGGUACUCAGUAAACGGUAGUGUGGCUCCUCAAGCUUUCACUAUGCAAAGUGUCAGAAAUGGAGCCAUCCCCUCCCCCCAGCCUAUCAUCCCACUUCAUCAGGCUGUGCACUGCAGCCAGGAAAUACGAUGUAGUGUCUAAUACUCCUGUCUGUGCGGCUGCCACUCCUCUCCCUGCCCCCUCCCUUCUCUCCACACCAACANNNNNNNNNNNNNNNNNNNNNNNNNNNNNNNNNNNNNNNNNNNUUCUUGAUUGAUCCUCUCUCCCGCCCCACCCACUGCCCACCUCUUGGGUCAUUCUUGCACAAUUAUUGUAUUUAUUAGAUGUCUUCCAUCUUCUAAGCGGGAUCAAUAGUUGGUGAUUUGAUUCCAUCGCAUGUCUGAGAAAGUGCAGUCAGCUAGCGGAUAUCUUUCACCGUUUUCCCUCAUCCCAGCCCAUAAAUGUUGGCUAAUCUCACUGGAUCUGACAAAGGGCUAAAACGAUUUCACUGCGACAGAGUUGGCCUUUGUGACAGACAGUAAACAUCGUUGGAGACACUCAGGUAAGCCCAGGAUCAGGCCCUGGAGAUGGAGAAGUGUC
This 1345-nucleotide long non-coding RNA is filed under the name Capra hircus (goat). RNAcentral describes it as "lncRNA (ENSCHIG00010005165.1)". The record is from RNAcentral. Lineage: Eukaryota; Metazoa; Chordata; Mammalia; Artiodactyla; Bovidae.